Parasteatoda tepidariorum (common house spider) is the source of this 1322-nucleotide long non-coding RNA. RefSeq lists it as uncharacterized. The record is from RefSeq and is a predicted model, not a curated record. NCBI's taxonomy places the organism in Eukaryota, Metazoa, Arthropoda, Arachnida, Araneae, Theridiidae.
CGAAGUUCCCUCUGACUGUAGGGGUUGCAUCCCUUUAGGAAUCAGUCAAUUGGUUGCCUAGCAGUUGGAAGGUGAAGAAAGUUUAGAUAUGACGUCCUGAGAUUAGUGAUGUCGGAAAAGAAAUAGAGCGACAAUUAGGACUACUUGCUAGCGCAAUUGAGGUGACGUCUUGGCUUCAAAGCUACUGCUCCAUGAAGUGUUUGCUGAUCGUUCCCCUGAAGUGUUUGGUAAUCGCCCCCAUGAAGUGUUUGCUGAUCGUACUCAACUGUUUGCUGAUGCUCCACGUACUGUUGGUGCCACAAUGACUGUUCCCACUCACAUGGUUCCUCCACCUAUCCUUCAACUGGAUUUCCCUGCUCCUCCAGUUUUAUCAUUUGGUAGGAUUCCUCCACAACCACCUUCGUUGCCAAAAUCAGCUGCAUCUCAAAUACAUGCUCCACCCAGUAUACACGCUUCACCACUUCCUCCGAAAGUAUUCAGCAGCCUACAUCUGACUUCAAGAGACGAAGCAAAAUCUUGGACAUUAGCUUGCGAGACCUAGCUCGACAUUGUUUCCAGUGCCAGAAGAUGUUUUCAAGGAUUGUAACUCCUUGAACUCAUGGACUUUUGCCUUGGACACUAAUUAAAUUUUUUCACUUUUAGAGAACUAGGUUCCUCACCAGGUGCGUCAAUGAAUUUCUCGGUAAUCCCUCGUCUAUGGCGGGGGAGGGAUGAUGCAGAGCAAGGAGUCCCAAAAUAGUAGGUGCCCCCAAAACAUCGAUAAAGUGAGCCAAAUGGUGAAUUUGGCGAAGUUCCCUGUUGCUGUAGGGGUUGCAUCCUUUUAGGAAUCAGUCGAUGCGUUGCCUAGCAGUUGGAAGGUGAAGAAGGUUUAGAUAUGACGCCCUGGUGAGUGAUCUUAGUUUCUCCCCCCCCCUCCUUUUUGCGUUGCUUACUGUUAUGGAAUCAAUAUGCAAUCAAGAUAAUUUUAAUAAUUAAAAUUUAAAUGAACUUUAAAAUGUGUAAUAGAUUUUUAACUCUAAUUAACAUGAUACAUACUAAAGUAAUAUCAAUAGUUGUAUCAAUUAUUCCAGUACAUUUUAUAAUUCAUUUGAUGUCACCUUUAUGUUUUCUGAAAUAAAACAUAGAAAAUUGUGUUUUCUCGAUUUUGCGUUUUAUUAAAGUUCUUGCAGGUCGCUAUAGCGCAAGCUCAUAUUUGGCUACUACUGUUAAAUUCUUGAAAUCAGAUGAGAAGAAAAUUACAUCAAAAUGAAUAAAAAAAUAUCUCACAAAUGUAUGUAUUGGAAACAAUGAAUGUAUUGAAAUAAAUUUUAAAAAGAUGCUAA